RNAcentral lists this ribosomal RNA (223 nucleotides) under uncultured bacterium. RNAcentral describes it as "partial 16S ribosomal RNA". It matches the Rfam family "Bacterial small subunit ribosomal RNA", at positions 96 to 334 of the family's 1533-position model. The record is from RNAcentral.
CGGCGGACGGGUGAGUAAUGCAUUGGAACAUGCCUUGAUGUGGGGGAUACCCAGCCGAAAGGUUGGCUAAUACCGCAUGUGACCUCCGGGUCAAAGACGCAAGUCGCAUCAAGAUUGGCCAAUGUCCCAUCAGGUAGUUGGUAGGGUAAUGGCCUACCAAGCCGACGACGGGUAGCUGGUCUGAGAGGAUGGACAGCCACAAGGGAACUGAGACACGGUCCCU